Molecule: ribosomal RNA, 1681 nt
Filed under: metagenome
Description: bacterial LSU rRNA
Rfam family: Bacterial large subunit ribosomal RNA
Source: RNAcentral
ACGUAGUUAAUUGGUAGAGGAGCAUUCUUAAAGGGAAGAAGCAGUACCGGAAGGAGCUGUGGACUUUUAAGAAGAGAGAAUGCCGGAAUGAGUAGCGAGAGGAAGGUGAGAAUCCUUCCGGCCGAAUACCCAAGGUUUCCAGAGUAAAGCUGAUCUGCUCUGGGUAAGUCGGGGCCUAAGGUGAGGUCGAAAGACGUAGCCGAUGGACAACAGGUUGAAAUUCCUGUACUGCAGUAUAACAGAACUGUGGGGACGCAGAGGGAGAGCACUAGCGGGAAUGGAAUCCCGCGGCAAGCGAGGUAGGAGCCGCGUUGGCAAAUCCGCGUGACAAUCCGAAGACGUGAUGCAUACCGAACUGAAGUAGGGAAAUGUGUGAGCCAGCUGCCAAGAAAAGCCGCUAUUGUUUGUACUGUACCCGUACCGUAAACCGACACAGGUAGGUGAGGAGAGAAUCCUAAGGCCGACGGGGGAAGCAUUGUUAAGGAACUCGGCAAAAUGACUCCGUAACUUCGGGAGAAGGAGUGCCAGUGAGAGCUGGCCGCAGAGAAUUGGCCCAAGCAACUGUAUAGCAAAAACACAGGUCUAUGCAAAACCGUAAGGUGAAGUAUAUGGGCUGACGCCUGCCCGGUGCUGGAAGGUUAAGGGGAGAGGUUAGCGCAAGCGAAGCUUUGAACUUAAGCCCCAGUGAACGGCGGCCGUAACCAUAACGGUCCUAAGGUAGCGAAAUUCCUUGUCGGGUAAGUUCCGACCCGCACGAAAGGCGUAAUGAUUUGGGCACUGUCUCAACAAUGCACCCGGUGAAAUUGAAAUACCAGUGAAGAUGCUGGUUACCUGCGCCAGGACGGAAAGACCCCAUGGAGCUUUACUCCAGCUUGAUACUGGGAUUCGAUAUUGUAUGUACAGGAUAGGUGGGAGGCGAAGAAGCAUUGACGCCAGUUGAUGCGGAGCCGCUGUUGGGAUACCACCCUUGCAGUAUUGGAUUUCUAACCAGCAGCCGUGACCCGGCUGGGGGACAAUGUCAGGUGGGGAGUUUGACUGGGGCGGUCGCCUCCGAAAGGGUAUCGGAGGCGCUCAAAGGUUCCCUCAGAAUGGUUGGAAACCAUUCGAAGAGUGCAAAGGCAGAAGGGAGCUUGACUGCGACACCGACGGGUGGAGCAGGUACGAAAGUAGGACUUAGUGAUCCGGUGGUAUAAAGUGGGAUUGCCAUCGCUCAACGGAUAAAAGCUACCCUGGGAUAACAGGCUUAUCACUCCCAAGAGUUCACAUCGACGGAGUGGUUUGGCACCUCGAUGUCGGCUCAUCGCAUCCUGGGGCUGAAGUAGGUCCCAAGGGUUGGGCUGUUCGCCCAUUAAAGCGGUACGCGAGCUGGGUUCAGAACGUCGUGAGACAGUUCGGUCCCUAUCCGGCGUGGGCGUAGGAUAUUUGAGAGGAGCUGGCCUUAGUACGAGAGGACCGGGCUGGACUGACCGCUGGUGUAUCUGUUGUUCCGCCAGGAGCAUGGCAGAGUAGCCAAGUCAGGAAGGGAUAAACGCUGAAGGCAUCUAAGCGUGAAGCCCCCCUCAAGAUGAGAUAUCCCAACGCAAGUUGUAAGACCCCUUGAAGACGACAAGGUAGAUAGGGCAGAGGUGGAAGUGCAGUAAUGCAUGGAGCUGACUGUUACUAAUCGGUCGAGGGCAUAACC